AUUGGGUGCUGCUAGAUGUACAGAACGUUUCCUUACAGAGUCUUCACAGAAUGACGUGGCAGUUGAGGAUUAUUAAAAAAAAAAAAAAAACAAAUGGACAAAACAAACGUCUCCAGUGAUUUCCUUAUUUCAUUCCCGUCUGCCUCUCCACCUGAAAUUGGGAACCCUAGAAUCACGCCUCUUUCAACUUCCGACCGGUGCCACCAUCCUUCUCAACCUCCGACGACAAUUUUAAAUGUGGCCAGAUUUGCAAUCACCAAAAGCAUAGUGAAAUCGGGUCCUUCAUCUUCACCACCGGCGACAAACGCCACAUUCUUGGUCGACUCAGUCCACAACAACUAGGUAUCUUCACCUUCGUCCAGGAACUCCAACUGAUUUCCACCGUCGACAAUAAACUCAGCCCACAACAACAAUAUUAUCUGUGAAACGUUGUGAAGAAGGAAGUUUAGAAAAUUGUGAAAAAUGGUCAAAAAAGUUUUGAAGAACGAUUUGAAGCUUGUUCAGUAUGCAACUGUUGUGAGAAUCAAACAAAUUCCCUAUUCUCUGUAAAUUGUGAAAAACGUUUUGAAGUUUGUUCAAUAUGUAAUUGUUGUGAGAAACUAGUGUAAUUCCCUUUUCUCUGUAAAUUGUUGGGAGAAACUAGUGUAAUCUUCUUGCUGUAUUAUACUAUUUUUCUGUUAUAUCUCUCAAAUUGUGGAGUCCAGUCAACCAUUUUGACACUUGUAAAUGGAUACUACAAUUUUGGGAGUCCAGUAAACCAUUUUGACACUAGCAAAUGGAUACUACAAUUUUGGUUGCUAUUAGUUUUCUGUUGCUUAAAUUGCGUAAGUGGAUACUACAAUUUUAUUUUUAUUUUUUUGACCGGGGAUGCCUACACAUUGUGCUCCAAAGUUGCAAAGGAAAAAUCAAAGAAAAAAGCUAGAG
This 924-nucleotide long non-coding RNA is filed under the name Olea europaea subsp. europaea. The record is from RNAcentral. Lineage: Eukaryota; Viridiplantae; Streptophyta; Magnoliopsida; Lamiales; Oleaceae.